Molecule: ribosomal RNA, 228 nt
Filed under: Chlorobaculum sp. JAGS195
Lineage: Bacteria; Pseudomonadati; Chlorobiota; Chlorobiia; Chlorobiales; Chlorobiaceae
Description: partial 16S ribosomal RNA
Rfam family: Bacterial small subunit ribosomal RNA
Source: RNAcentral
GUAGUUGGUAGGGUAACGGCCCACCAAGCCAACGACGGAUAGCUGGUCUGAGAGGAUGAUCAGGCACAUUCUAACUGUGACUCGGUCCAGACUCCUACGGGAGGCAGCAUUGAGGAAUAUUGCGCAAUGGGCGAAAGCGUGGCGCAGCCACGCCGCGUGGAUGAUGAAGUUCUUCAGAAUGUAAAAUCCUUUUGCUGGAGACGAAUAGGUCGGCUUGCCGACUCUGAC